Molecule: unclassified non-coding RNA, 261 nt
Filed under: Hevea brasiliensis (rubber tree)
Lineage: Eukaryota; Viridiplantae; Streptophyta; Magnoliopsida; Malpighiales; Euphorbiaceae
Source: RNAcentral
AAGUAUUUCUACCAACAAAAGAGGUUUGUUUCUGACGCUAGAAACUUUGAAUAAUGAUACAAAUGUUUAGGUAUUAAUAUAAUGCUCAUCAACUAGACUAUGCUAUAGAACCACUAGUUUAUGCUAGUCAGCAUCUAAAUUGGUAGAUAUUGGGUAUCAGUUUAAUCUGUUAUUUCUAGAAUCAUUGAUACUUUGAGAACAGUUCUCUAUGAGGAUUAUUCUUUUUGUCAUGUCAUUCGAAUGAUCUCUAAUCAUUCUUUU